RNAcentral lists this non-coding RNA (20 nucleotides) under Arabidopsis thaliana (thale cress). The record is from RNAcentral. Lineage: Eukaryota; Viridiplantae; Streptophyta; Magnoliopsida; Brassicales; Brassicaceae.
UGGUAACUACUACUCGGAUA